Molecule: small RNA, 785 nt
Filed under: Pan troglodytes (chimpanzee)
Lineage: Eukaryota; Metazoa; Chordata; Mammalia; Primates; Hominidae
Description: processed transcript
Source: RNAcentral
GGCUGCUGCCGGGUAUGUGCACGGCGGCUGGGGGAGCCCUGCGACCAACUCCACGUCUGCGACGCCAGCCAGGGCCUGGUCUGCCAGCCCGGGGCAGGACCCGGUGGCCGGGGGGCCCUGUGCCUCUGUAAGCAGUGGCAGAGGACGACAGCAGCUGUGAGGUGAACGGCCGCCUGUAUCGGGAGGGGGAGACCUUCCAGCCCCACUGCAGCAUCCGCUGCCGCUGCGAGGACGGCGGCUUCACCUGCGUGCCGCUGUGCAGCGAGGACGUGCGGCUGCCCAGCUGGGACUGCCCCCACCCCAGGAGGGUCGAGGUCCUGGGCAAGUGCUGCCCUGAGUGGGUGUGCGGCCAAGGAGGGGGACUGGGGACCCAGCCCCUUCCAGCCCAAGGACCCCAGUUUUCUGGCCUUGUCUCUUCCCUGCCCCCUGGUGUCCCCUGCCCAGAAUGGAGCACGGCCUGGGGAUCCUGCUCGACCACCUGUGGGCUGGGCAUGGCCACCCGGGUGUCCAACCAGAACCGCUUCUGCCGACUGGAGACCCAGCGCCGCCUGUGCCUGUCCAGGCCCUGCCCACCCUCCAGGGGUCGCAGUCCACAAAACAGUGCCUUCUAGAGCCGGGCUGGGAAUGGGGACACGGUGUCCACCAUCCCCAGCUGGUGGCCGUGUGCCUGGGCCCUGGGCUGAUGGAAGAUGGUCCGUGCCCAGGCCCUUGGCUGCAGGCAACACUUUAGCUUGGGUCCACCAUGCAGAACACCAAUAUUAACACGCUGCCUGGUCUGUCUGGAU